ACACAUGCAAGUCGAGGGGCAGCGGGAUUGAAGCUUGCUUCAAUUGCCGGCGACCGGCGCACGGGUGAGUAACGCGUAUCCAACCUUCCGCUUACUCGGGGAUAGCCUUUCGAAAGAAAGAUUAAUACCCGAUGGUAUCUUAAGCACGCAUGAGAUUAAGAUUAAAGAUUUAUCGGUAAGCGAUGGGGAUGCGUUCCAUUAGGCAGUUGGCGGGGUAACGGCCCACCAAACCUACGAUGGAUAGGGGUUCUGAGAGGAAGGUCCCCCACAUUGGAACUGAGACACGGUCCAAACUCCUACGGGAGGCAGCAGUGAGGAAUAUUGGUCAAUGGGCGAGAGCCUGAACCAGCCAAGUAGCGUGAAGGAUGACGGCCCUACGGGUUGUAAACUUCUUUUGUGCGGGAAUAAAGGAACCUACGUGUAGGUUUUUGCAUGUACCGUAACGAAUAAGCAUCGGCUAACUCCGUGCCAGCAGCCGCGGUAAUACGGAGGAUGCGAGCGUUAUCCGGAUUUAUUGGGUUUAAAGGGAGCGUAGACGGGUUUUUAAGUCAGCUGUGAAAGUUUGGGGCUCAACCUUAAAAUUGCAGUUGAAACUGGAGACCUUGAGUACGGUUGAGGCAGGCGGAAUUCGUGGUGUAGCGGUGAAAUGCUUAGAUAUCACGAAGAACCCCGAUUGCGAAGGCAGCCUGCUAAGCCGCCACUGACGUUGAGGCUCGAAAGUGCGGGUAUCAAACAGGAUUAGAUACCCUGGUAGUCCGCACGGUAAACGAUGGAUACUCGCUGUUGGCGAUAGACUGUCAGCGGCCAAGCGAAAGCGUUAAGUAUCCCACCUGGGGAGUACGCCGGCA
RNAcentral lists this ribosomal RNA (848 nucleotides) under uncultured bacterium. Its description in RNAcentral is "bacterial SSU rRNA". It matches the Rfam family "Bacterial small subunit ribosomal RNA", at positions 51 to 890 of the family's 1533-position model. The record is from RNAcentral.